Molecule: non-coding RNA, 69 nt
Organism: Podarcis lilfordi (Lilford's wall lizard)
Lineage: Eukaryota; Metazoa; Chordata; Lepidosauria; Squamata; Lacertidae
Source: the annotation of a GenBank genome assembly
GUGAUAGCUCAGUGGCAGAGUACAUGUUUUGCAUGCACAAGGUCCUAGGUUCAACUCUCAGCAUCACUA